UUCCUGCAACCCCUUCCUUAGGACCCAUUUGAUCAAUACAAGCAGGAGGCGGGGGAAGAGACACCAAGUGGACAAUGAGGUCUUCCAUGGACCAGUGUCCAUCAGGAGUGACUUCACCACCUGGCUGUCACAGGUUUGCAACACAAGAGAAAGAAGUCAUUAUGAUAUGCACCUGCUCAUAGAAGGCAGGCUCCAGCCUGGGUCUGGGGGGACUGGGCUCCCGGGCGACACAAACCUAGAGCGGCUGAGGGAUGGAGUGACAGGCCCCAGCUGAAGGCAGGAUGCCGGGGUCCCACAUGUGGUUCAGUGGGGACCUGCAACUGGCCAGAGCUGGGCCUCUUCACUUUCUCCUUUGGACCCUUGGCUACUUUAGCCAUAGUCCUAAUUCCGACAUCAGCUGUCUUGAGCGGAAGAAUGAAUACCCAGGCACCAUGCUGAGAACAGAUGCCGGCUGAGGUACCUCCCCGCCAAGGCCAGCCUGCCAACCUGAAAGUCUCAGGGAAACUAGAGAGGCCAGAAGCCACCAAGACCCCACCUAGGGCUAGCCUCAGCUUCUCACCAGCCUGCUGCCUGCUCUGGGCCACUUUGUGGUACUUAAUGCUCCACUCUCUCUUACACCAUUACAAACAUCUGCUAAACAAUAAAGCCUACAGUGCAA
Long non-coding RNA from Peromyscus maniculatus bairdii (prairie deer mouse), 658 nucleotides. RefSeq lists it as uncharacterized. NCBI's taxonomy places the organism in Eukaryota, Metazoa, Chordata, Mammalia, Rodentia, Cricetidae. The record is from RefSeq and is a predicted model, not a curated record.